RNAcentral lists this unclassified non-coding RNA (227 nucleotides) under Hevea brasiliensis (rubber tree). Lineage: Eukaryota; Viridiplantae; Streptophyta; Magnoliopsida; Malpighiales; Euphorbiaceae. The record is from RNAcentral.
GGAAAUGCUUCUUUAGAGGAGGUUGUAAUGGCCUUAAAGUGUCGUGGAGAGCAAGUACUAGGUGGCCUAUAUACAGGGAUUAAUACACAACAUAUACUCAUGUCAAGCAAGAUGGUAGAGGAGUAUUCCGGACUUCAUGUGCAGCCACACAAAGCCAUUGUUGGAGCUAAUGCCUUUGCUCAUGAAAGUGGCAUCCAUCAGGAUGGAAUGUUAAAACACAAAGAUAC